This is a long non-coding RNA of Pogoniulus pusillus (Red-fronted tinkerbird), 2198 nucleotides long. RefSeq lists it as uncharacterized. NCBI's taxonomy places the organism in Eukaryota, Metazoa, Chordata, Aves, Piciformes, Lybiidae. The record is from RefSeq and is a predicted model, not a curated record. The transcript has 3 exons.
UGCCGCCACUGCCCGCAGCCCCCGGGGCCGCGCCGGCACGGAGCCUGUGGCAGGCUGCGGCCUAGUGGCGCUGCAGAGUCCCUGAGCCGAGGCCUCUUCCUCUACCCGAGAGACCUUGGCCUGAGCGGAGCGCGUAUUUCAUCCCCCAUCCCGGCCUUCGAUAAGCGCAGCUCAAUGCCUUUCGGCCUCCCGAUUUCCCCGAAAGGCCACUCGGCUCCUGCUGGCACACAGGAGCAGCGGCGAGGCGUUGCGCUUCGGUGUGGGCCGUACUGGUGGAGCAAGAAGGGAGCCCAUCUUCUCAGUGAAGUUCACAAAGCUCAAAGCCUCGCAGACACCUAAAGCACGUGAAAUGUUGGUGGAAAACCUCCUGCAAAUGCUGCAACAUAUGAAUUCCAGGCUUAAGUGGAGAUAGCACUUUAUAACUAAUAACCGAUACCUGAAGAAAUGGUAGCUGCAGCCACGCACCCACCUGGGAUUUCCAAGAGACUGAAGAGGUUAGAUGUACAGAUCCUCCUGAUGACAACAGCUCGAGGAGUAACUGGAAUCCUUGCUGCCUGAGGUUUUAAGCACACAAAAGAAAAGGUAAAGCUCGAAGUAUAAACACAUGCAGCCAUAUUGCCAGACCACCUGCUUCAAGUAGUGAUGAAUGCAAAUGAAAACAACAUAAGGAGGGAGAAGUGCCGUAACAACACUCCAUUUAUAUCCUCCCACCUUCUAGCAAUCUUUGCUAGGCUUUCUGAGACAAAAAUAACUGUGUUUGAUGACCAUUUCUUCCCUAUUUAUUCUAUUUACGGUCUUAGCUUUUAAGAUAACCAUGACAAUGUGAUUCAUGAUUUAAUUGUGUGCAACCAGAAAAACAUUUCCUUUAAUUUUCAAUGGUAAAGAGGCAUAAAGCAAAAUAAGUAAUAGAAAUUAUGGGUAAUAAUUUUCUGAUUAUUUAUUUAUACCCUUUAUGCACCAUAAUAUCUUCUGAGUCCCUUUUUUUUGCGAACCAAAUCUGACAUCUGUCCAAUUCUUUCUCCUUUUAAAGUAAUUCCACGCUUCUGAUUAUCCUUGCCAUUUUCUCUUUAUUGACAAGAAAUGUACAUGAUGUUCAGGAUGUGGGCUUCAUGCAGAUUUACGUAAUGAAGAGAGGAUCCUCCCCGGUUCUUUUCAGGAUGGGACUACUGAUUUAAUAUAGCCUGUUUAAAGACUUUUCUCCCAAAAUACUCCUUUUAACACUCAAUGCCUACUGACCCCGUAGCCUUCCUGCUUCUGAUGAAUCUGGAAAAGGUCUUUGCAAGGGCUGUGAACAAAGCAAAUUGUUUGUCUGAUCUUUUCUUCCCUAUUACAUUUAGCUUAAAACAAUUUUUGAUUUUGCUUGUUUGUUUGUAUAUAACCCUGUGGUUCCUGUUAUGGUGCUAUUUAACCUUGUUAAAAGAACUGAAAGGACCAAACAAAAACCUUGUUUGUCUCUCAUCUGCUCGCAUUUAGUCUGUGAGGUUUUGAUGUCUUUAGAAAAAAAAAACAAAAAACUUGCUCAUUUUUGUGUUCCACCCUUUUAGACAUCAUUCAUUUUCUUAAUGUUGUUUUUCUCUGUGCCAGCAUAGGCAAAGUGAAUCAACACAGCAAAGCUGUGAAUCUAGCAAACUGGAGUCUGCCUUCUGGUAUUCACUUCAGUAGUACUGAGAUGUUUUUGCUUAUAUGCACGAUUUAUUUUUUUUUUUCACAUUCUAUGGAUCUCGAAAUUAUAUAAAUCUCGAAAUAGGACUAACAGCGUCACUGUUCACUUGCUGACAUGGUUUUUGCAGUCAUAACUGGGAUCUCAGGUUUUCCUGUCAUGCUCCAGAGUUUAAGGACAAAGGACCACCAUUAUUUCUAGUUCUGUGUGACUUGAUGCAGCAUGGAAAUUCCUUCAUUCCGAAGCAUGAACUAUCACUGCCCCCUAAAGAAUACAGUUUCGUCACCCUGUAUCUCCAAACACCUACAAGCUAGCCGCUUAGAGGACGCUUCACUAGACAAAAACUUCUAAAUAGUAACAUCUCUUCCGCGCAUAAAAGCCAUCAGGCCACGCCGUACUUCCCCACGCAACCCCCCACUAGCUGGAGAUUGAGCGCUACCUCCGCAGCUGCUCAACACGGCCGCUAAUGUAAACAAGCCUCCGCCCAGCAGCAAACAGCCCAGGCCCGGCCGGCAAGGUCAAGUGCUAGAACUUUCCC